Arabidopsis lyrata subsp. lyrata is the source of this 1419-nucleotide long non-coding RNA. RefSeq lists it as uncharacterized. The record is from RefSeq and is a predicted model, not a curated record. NCBI's taxonomy places the organism in Eukaryota, Viridiplantae, Streptophyta, Magnoliopsida, Brassicales, Brassicaceae. The transcript has 2 exons.
AAUAUAAGAUUUGAUUCAACAAAAGCUUUGCAUUAAAAUAAAUCUAAGAUUUGAGUCUGCACAAUCACAAAAAUCACUUAAUCAAAAAAAAAUGCUAUAAUCUAAAUUCAUCUAAAUUCAAUUGCUAAAUCUUUCUUAAAUUAAAGAAACGAAAGAAAUCAUCUUAAUCAUUUUUUCCUGACACGACUCUGAGAUCUUACUAGAUCCAGACUGUAUAAAAUCCACCAGCUCCAACAACGUUUGCCUCUUAAUCUCCCUCUCUCUCGCGUUCUUAAUCGUGUCAGUGAAAUCGAGUAGGAAACAUCAAUUCUGGAGUUUCCUCAAGAACAAAGAUUGCCUCUCUGAAAUCGGCACAUCCCUAAACAACGGGAGUACCUCCACGGAGCCCAUAGGCGGAGGUGGUGGAGUUGCAGUCACUGGCGAGUACCCCGUAACCCGAUCCGAGUUACAAUUACCGCCUCACUGAUCUCUUUUAUCGGCCAAAUUUCAGAAUUUCUCCAAUCUCUGCAACCAUCGGCGAUGGAUCCUCCUCCACCGCGAAACCCUAGCCAUGAUAAUUCCAAGUAUGAACCAAACACUACAUCAUCAAUUCCUCAAAGCGACGAAUCCUCAACGCUAACCGAAGUGUCAUCGAUGAAUCCUCCACCUCCCAGAAACCCUAACCUACCUGAUCUGAAGACAACGGAAUAAGUAGUAGAGCCCGAACCAAUGGAGGAAUCCAAGGACGAUUCCGUCGCUGUAGACGAAAAUAAACCAGUUCGUACCCGAACCGUGAAGCAGAAUCCAGUCCCCUACACUAUUCCAGAGUGGAGUGGCCCUCCGUCUCACCAAACAUAGGAGUUCGUUCCGAACAGAUAAGAUGGUAGUUGGCUAUCAAUCUUCUUUAGCACGAGUAGAUCCCUAUUCUUUUCAGCUUGAAGUUCUUAAAGAAGGCACCAUUGUUGACAAAUUAGACGUUUAUUCAGUACAAGAGAAGUGGAGCCGCGUAUAUAUUUGAUCUUGGAAGUACGCAUGGAACGACGAUUAAUAAGAAUAAGGUGUUUUAUUUGUGGAUUCAGUAUUUUGUAUUCUCUUGAUUGAGCUUUGAUUGAGUUUCAGAUUAGAAAAAAAAAAUGAGAGAGAAAGAAGGAUAAAGAUGGUUGCAGAGGAGACAAUGGCAUUUUAGAUCUAAGAAGAAGAGAGAAGGAUGACGAUGGUUGUAGAGAGGAUAUUUAGGUUUUAUUUUUCAGUUUUGUUUUUGCAGUAUAUUCUCCCACUUACUAUCAAAUCUGUUUUCUACUUUAAAUCCGACGGCCAGAAUUAAAACAUGUUCAGUUACUUUUUAACUAUUUUAGUUAAGCUUUUGUAGAAAAUCUGAGAGCAAAAUUGUAUUGAUUUUUGUUGUACAGUGAAAAAACCUAAAAAAAGUGUCUACUCCCA